UCCUGGCUCAGGAUGAACGCUGGCGGCGUGCCUAAUACAUGCAAGUCGAGCGAACGGACGAGAAGCUUGCUUCUCUGAUGUUAGCGGCGGACGGGUGAGUAACACGUGGAUAACCUACCUAUAAGACUGGGAUAACUUCGGGAAACCGGAGCUAAUACCGGAUAAUAUUUUGAACCGCAUGGUUCAAAAGUGAAAGACGGUCUUGCUGUCACUUAUAGAUGGAUCCGCGCUGCAUUAGCUAGUUGGUAAGGUAACGGCUUACCAAGGCAACGAUGCAUAGCCGACCUGAGAGGGUGAUCGGCCACACUGGAACUGAGACACGGUCCAGACUCCUACGGGAGGCAGCAGUAGGGAAUCUUCCGCAAUGGGCGAAAGCCUGACGGAGCAACGCCGCGUGAGUGAUGAAGGUCUUCGGAUCGUAAAACUCUGUUAUUAGGGAAGAACAUAUGUGUAAGUAACUGUGCACAUCUUGACGGUACCUAAUCAGAAAGCCACGGCUAACUACGUGCCAGCAGCCGCGGUAAUACGUAGGUGGCAAGCGUUAUCCGGAAUUAUUGGGCGUAAAGCGCGCGUAGGCGGUUUUUUAAGUCUGAUGUGAAAGCCCACGGCUCAACCGUGGAGGGUCAUUGGAAACUGGAAAACUUGAGUGCAGAAGAGGAAAGUGGAAUUCCAUGUGUAGCGGUGAAAUGCGCAGAGAUAUGGAGGAACACCAGUGGCGAAGGCGACUUUCUGGUCUGUAACUGACGCUGAUGUGCGAAAGCGUGGGGAUCAAACAGGAUUAGAUACCCUGGUAGUCCACGCCGUAAACGAUGAGUGCUAAGUGUUAGGGGGUUUCCGCCCCUUAGUGCUGCAGCUAACGCAUUAAGCACUCCGCCUGGGGAGUACGACCGCAAGGUUGAAACUCAAAGGAAUUGACGGGGACCCGCACAAGCGGUGGAGCAUGUGGUUUAAUUCGAAGCAACGCGAAGAACCUUACCAAAUCUUGACAUCCUUUGACAACUCUAGAGAUAGAGCCUUCCCCUUCGGGGGACAAAGUGACAGGUGGUGCAUGGUUGUCGUCAGCUCGUGUCGUGAGAUGUUGGGUUAAGUCCCGCAACGAGCGCAACCCUUAAGCUUAGUUGCCAUCAUUAAGUUGGGCACUCUAAGUUGACUGCCGGUGACAAACCGGAGGAAGGUGGGGAUGACGUCAAAUCAUCAUGCCCCUUAUGAUUUGGGCUACACACGUGCUACAAUGGACAAUACAAAGGGCAGCGAAACCGCGAGGUCAAGCAAAUCCCAUAAAGUUGUUCUCAGUUCGGAUUGUAGUCUGCAACUCGACUACAUGAAGCUGGAAUCGCUAGUAAUCGUAGAUCAGCAUGCUACGGUGAAUACGUUCCCGGGUCUUGUACACACCGCCCGUCACACCACGAGAGUUUGUAACACCCGAAGCCGGUGGAGUAACCUUUUAGGAGCUAGCCGUCGAAGGUGGGACAAAUGAUUGGGGUGAAGUCGUAACAAGGU
Molecule: ribosomal RNA, 1500 nt
Filed under: Staphylococcus aureus
Lineage: Bacteria; Bacillati; Bacillota; Bacilli; Caryophanales; Staphylococcaceae
Description: partial 16S ribosomal RNA
Rfam family: Bacterial small subunit ribosomal RNA
Source: RNAcentral